UAGCAUAUACUAAAGUUGCUGCAGUUAAAAAGCUCGUAGUUGGAUCUCGGGAGCGGGCCGGCGGUCCGCCCCGGACCCCUGCCUCACGGCGCCCCCCGGAUGCCCUUAACUGGGUGUCCGGUCCUCGGGGCCCGACGCGUUUACUUUGAAAAAAUAAGAGUGUUCAAAGCAGGCCACCCGUCGCUGCUGAAUACCGUASCUAGGAAUAAUGGAAUAGGACUCCGGUUCUAUUUUGUGGGUUUCUGGAACCCGGGGCCAUGAUUGAGAGGGACGGCCGGGGGCAUUCGUAUUGCGCCACUAGAGGUGAAAUUCUUGGACCGGCACAAGACGGACGRAA
This is a ribosomal RNA of 337 nucleotides. It matches the Rfam family "Eukaryotic small subunit ribosomal RNA", at positions 597 to 955 of the family's 1831-position model.